This 380-nucleotide ribosomal RNA is filed under the name uncultured eukaryote. RNAcentral's name for it is "partial 18S ribosomal RNA". It matches the Rfam family "Eukaryotic small subunit ribosomal RNA", at positions 592 to 976 of the family's 1831-position model. The record is from RNAcentral.
CAAUAGCGUAUAUUAAAGUUGUUGCGGUUAAAAAGCUCGUAGUUGGAGUUCUGCCAGGUGCCGCCUGUCCGCCCCAGUGGUGAGUACGUGGCGCGCAUUUGGCCCUUUCAAGGGGAGCGUAACUGCACUUUAUUGUGUGGUGCGGGAUCCUUGACUUUUACUUUGAGGAAAUAGGAGUGUUCCAAGCAGGCUCUCGUCGUGCACAGCUCAGCAUGGAAUAAUAGCAUUGGACCUCGAUUCUAAGCUGUUGGUUGCCAGAAGCGAGGUAAUGAUGAAGAGGGAUAGUUGGGGGCAUUCGUAUUUAACUGUCAGAGGUGAAAUUCUUGGAUUUAUGAAAGACGAACUUCUGCGAAAGCAUUUGCCAAGGAUGUUUUCAUUGA